Molecule: ribosomal RNA, 374 nt
Filed under: uncultured organism
Description: partial 16S ribosomal RNA
Rfam family: Bacterial small subunit ribosomal RNA
Source: RNAcentral
GUAGGUGGCAAGCGUUGUCCGGAAUUAUUGGGCGUAAAGCGCGCGCAGGCGGUCCUUUAAGUCUGAUGUGAAAGCCCGCGGCUCAACCGUGGAGGGUCAUUGGAAACUGGGGGACUUGAGUACAGAAGAGGAAAGCGGAAUUCCAAGUGUAGCGGUGAAAUGCGUAGAGAUUUGGAGGAACACCAGUGGCGAAGGCGGCUUUCUGGUCUGUAACUGACGCUGAGGCGCGAAAGCGUGGGGAGCAAACAGGAUUAGAUACCCUGGUAGUCCACGCCGUAAACGAUGAGUGCUAAGUGUUAGGGGGUUUCCCGCCCCCCUUAGUGCUGCAGCUAACGCAUUAAGCACUCCGCCUGGGGAGUACGGCCGCAAGGCUG